UGAUGUUCUAUCUGGUGUUUCCAUGCCAACACCCUCUUCUGAACAACGCCCUUUCCAACCCAACAUUAGUCUGUUUGUUUGCCGUGACUGAGGUAGGAUAAUGCAGGUCGACGCAGGGGUCCAAGCCGUCCCCCCUCGACUCUCCUCUCCGAUUAGUAUGCAGCAGCAAAGGUUCAUGGGAAAUCAAGUGGCUGGCAGAUGAGUCAUACUGUAAUUGAAGCAGCACUUAAUCCGUCAUCUUUAAUUACCCCAUCGCUUCAAUCUCCUCUCACCCAGGCACACAGACACUGUCUCGGGCUAAUGGAGAGCGAUGAGUUAAAGCAACGCGACUAAACUCAUCUCGGGGGGGGAACAUCUCUCCCACACAUACUGACGGACACCCGCGCAGUUUGCAGCGAAACAGAAAAUAUAAAUGUUUACGGAAAGGGCCGGAAACGGGGCGCCCCUUGGGGGGGGGAUCCUAUCAGGGGUCAGGGGUCUGUCAACUGAGAUGGUCUGGAGUGUGUCUCGAGUGUGUGUGUGGAGUGUGUCUGGACGUCCGGAGAGACACACUGACCUCCAGCUUCACUUGAUUUGAACUUGAGACUGAUGGACGUGGAGUUGGAUGUCUGUUAUUUUAUAUGGAACUUGGCGUCUGAAAUAAAGAUUUAUAUAUAUACCAGAAUGGGAAAAUAUGCACAGCCUAAGACUUAAGUGUCACUAUAGACACGGAUAUGAUGUAUGUCGGCACACAAGCCGUAGUGCUACAUCUAAUAUUACUCCGAGGUAGUUUAUAAUGAAUGUCCGCUCUCUCUUAACGUGCAUCUGGACCUGUGUGCUGAGCAGCAUGUUGAUGGUGGUGUGAACGAUCCCACAUGACAGGGGCCUACAAAAAGGCUUUACUCAGUAAAAAAACACAAAACAACUUUUACUGGCGGGGCUGAGCGCUGUUAGACUCGGAUUUAUAGACACUUAGAGCAUGUGCUGUCAGGCUGCCCGCGCUACGGAGGAUAACCAGAUGUGUGUUUUGGAAAUCGCUCCGAUGCCAGUCCGCUCACCGAGCGCUAAAAGUGCCAACGCUGGGAUGCGGCUCGCCAAGACGGGGCUUUUUCAAAACAACCUCUGGGUCCAUCUCCACUCCGCUGUGUACCUGAUGCCCCCCGAGCGAGCGAGCGAGGUCAGCGUCCAGAUAGAGCCAGAGAGAGAGGCAGACGGAGCGUCACCUAAGAACACACCAUCAUCUCACAUCUCUUCAGUGAUUGGUGGAUGGCCAGGGGGAAGCAGCGAGCUCACGGUA
Clupea harengus (Atlantic herring) is the source of this 1276-nucleotide long non-coding RNA. RefSeq lists it as uncharacterized. Lineage: Eukaryota; Metazoa; Chordata; Actinopteri; Clupeiformes; Clupeidae. The transcript has 3 exons. The record is from RefSeq and is a predicted model, not a curated record.